CUGGUGAUCACACUCGGGCAGUGGUGGCGGCGGCGGAUACACAAGAGCAGCAUCUGAGAAAUUUGGCUCACUUUUGCAGGAAGACUGGGGUUCUCCGAAGGAGCAGGAAUUCCUCUGCAGGAAUUUUUCUGGAAGCAUGCAAGGCAGCCGCAGUUGGUUGAGGUACAGCCACCCUCUCCUCGGGGAACUUCAUCUCAUGUGGCGUCUUGACAAGUACACCGGGAGGUUCACAAAUAAACAAGGGACUGCAUCACUCUUUAAUGCCCAUGGAUCAUUAUCUAUUUUGACUUCUCCAUUUAUGACAUCCUUAAGUCUUCAGGAUGUCGAUUUCUUGAAACUGAACAUCGUGCACGUUGCAUGUCUUUACCAAACUUCUGUCCACGUGUGGAAUACAACUUUCCCACUUCUGCAAUAAAAGCAAGUCAGACGGCGGAGAGAAGUGG
Rhipicephalus microplus (southern cattle tick) is the source of this 443-nucleotide long non-coding RNA. RefSeq lists it as uncharacterized. The record is from RefSeq and is a predicted model, not a curated record. Lineage: Eukaryota; Metazoa; Arthropoda; Arachnida; Ixodida; Ixodidae.